Molecule: small nucleolar RNA, 85 nt
Organism: Crocodylus porosus (Australian saltwater crocodile)
Lineage: Eukaryota; Metazoa; Chordata; Crocodylia; Crocodylidae
Gene: SNORD11B
Product: small nucleolar RNA, C/D box 11B
Source: Ensembl
UGAUGGCAGUGAUGAUACCUAUACUGUUGCUAUCCUGAUGUACAGAUAUGAGGGUGCACAGUCACUACCUCAUCUGAUGCCAUCU